Molecule: ribosomal RNA, 885 nt
Filed under: Microbacterium sp. ER-22
Lineage: Bacteria; Bacillati; Actinomycetota; Actinomycetes; Micrococcales; Microbacteriaceae
Description: bacterial SSU rRNA
Rfam family: Bacterial small subunit ribosomal RNA
Source: RNAcentral
UGCAAGUCGAACGGUGAAGCAGAGCUUGCUCUGUGGAUCAGUGGCGAACGGGUGAGUAACACGUGAGCAAUCUGCCCCUGACUCUGGGAUAAGCGCUGGAAACGGCGUCUAAUACCGGAUACGAGCUGCGAAGGCAUCUUCAGCAGUUGGAAAGAAUUUCGGUCAGGGAUGAGCUCGCGGCCUAUCAGCUUGUUGGUGAGGUAAUGGCUCACCAAGGCGUCGACGGGUAGCCGGCCUGAGAGGGUGACCGGCCACACUGGGACUGAGACACGGCCCAGACUCCUACGGGAGGCAGCAGUGGGGAAUAUUGCACAAUGGGCGCAAGCCUGAUGCAGCAACGCCGCGUGAGGGAUGACGGCCUUCGGGUUGUAAACCUCUUUUAGCAAGGAAGAAGCGAAAGUGACGGUACUUGCAGAAAAAGCGCCGGCUAACUACGUGCCAGCAGCCGCGGUAAUACGUAGGGCGCAAGCGUUAUCCGGAAUUAUUGGGCGUAAAGAGCUCGUAGGCGGUUUGUCGCGUCUGCUGUGAAAACUGGAGGCUCAACCUCCAGCCUGCAGUGGGUACGGGCAGACUAGAGUGCGGUAGGGGAGAUUGGAAUUCCUGGUGUAGCGGUGGAAUGCGCAGAUAUCAGGAGGAACACCGAUGGCGAAGGCAGAUCUCUGGGCCGUAACUGACGCUGAGGAGCGAAAGGGUGGGGAGCAAACAGGCUUAGAUACCCUGGUAGUCCACCCCGUAAACGUUGGGAACUAGUUGUGGGGUCCAUUCCACGGAUUCCGUGACGCAGCUAACGCAUUAAGUUCCCCGCCUGGGGAGUACGGCCGCAAGGCUAAAACUCAAAGGAAUUGACGGGGACCCGCACAAGCGGCGGAGCAUGCGGAUUAAUUC